GAUGAAGAACGCAGCGAAAUGCGAUAAGUAGUGUGAAUUGCAGAAUUCAGUGAAUCAUCGAAUCUUUGAACGCACAUUGCGCCCCUUGGUAUUCCAUGGGGCAUGCCUGUUCGAGCGUCAUUUACACCCUCAAGCUCUGCUUGGUGUUGGGCGUCUGUCCCGCUUCGCGCGCGGACUCGCCCCAAACGUAUUGGCAGCGGUCUUUUGCCAGCUUCUCGCGCAGCACAUUGCGUUUCUUGAGGCUUCGGCGGAUCGGCGUCCAUCAAGACUCCACCAGUUUGACCUCGGAUCAGGUAGGGAUACCCGCUGAACUUAAGCAUAUCAAUAAGCGGAGGA
RNAcentral lists this unclassified non-coding RNA (336 nucleotides) under soil metagenome. RNAcentral's name for it is "partial contains 5.8S ribosomal RNA, internal transcribed spacer 2, and large subunit ribosomal RNA". The stretch from base 1 to 120 matches the Rfam family "5.8S ribosomal RNA", at positions 35 to 154 of the family's 154-position model. The record is from RNAcentral.